Molecule: ribosomal RNA, 850 nt
Filed under: Penicillium sp.
Lineage: Eukaryota; Fungi; Ascomycota; Eurotiomycetes; Eurotiales; Aspergillaceae
Description: partial large subunit ribosomal RNA
Rfam family: Eukaryotic large subunit ribosomal RNA
Source: RNAcentral
UAACGGCGAGUGAAGCGGCAAGAGCUCAAAUUUGAAAGCUGGCUCCUUCGGGGUCCGCAUUGUAAUUUGCAGAGGAUGCUUCGGGAGCGGCCCCCAUCUAAGUGCCCUGGAACGGGCCGUCAUAGAGGGUGAGAAUCCCGUCUGGGAUGGGGUGCCCGCGCCCGUGUGAAGCUCCUUCGACGAGUCGAGUUGUUUGGGAAUGCAGCUCUAAAUGGGUGGUAAAUUUCAUCUAAAGCUAAAUACUGGCCGGAGACCGAUAGCGCACAAGUAGAGUGAUCGAAAGAUGAAAAGCACUUUGAAAAGAGAGUUAAACAGCACGUGAAAUUGUUGAAAGGGAAGCGCUUGCGACCAGACUCGCUCGCGGGGUUCAGCCGGCCUUCGGGCCGGUGUACUUCCCCGCGGGCGGGCCAGCGUCGGUUUGGGCGGCCGGUCAAAGGCCCUCGGAAUGUAACGCCCCCCGGGGCGUCUUAUAGCCGAGGGUGCCAUGCGGCCAGCCCGGACCGAGGAACGCGCUUCGGCUCGGACGCUGGCAUAAUGGUCGUAAGCGACCCGUCUUGAAACACGGACCAAGGAGUCUAACAUCUACGCGAGUGUUCGGGUGUCAAACCCGUGCGCGCAGUGAAAGCGAACGGAGGUGGGAACCCCUCGGGGUGCACCAUCGACCGAUCCUGAUGUCUUCGGAUGGAUUUGAGUAAGAGCGUAGCUGUUGGGACCCGAAAGAUGGUGAACUAUGCCUGAAUAGGGCGAAGCCAGAGGAAACUCUGGUGGAGGCUCGCAGCGGUUCUGACGUGCAAAUCGAUCGUCAAAUUUGGGUAUAGGGGCGAAAGACUAAUCGAACCAUCUAGUAGCU